AUUGAACGCUGGCGGCAGGCCUAACACAUGCAAGUCGAGCGGAUGAAGGGAUCUUGCUCCUGGAUUCAGCGGCGGACGGGUGAGUAAUGCCUAGGAAUCUGCCUGGUAGUGGGGGAUAACGUCCGGAAACGGGCGCUAAUACCGCAUACGUCCUGAGGGAGAAAGUGGGGGAUCUUCGGACCUCACGCUAUCAGAUGAGCCUAGGUCGGAUUAGCUAGUUGGUGGGGUAAAGGCCUACCAAGGCGACGAUCCGUAACUGGUCUGAGAGGAUGAUCAGUCACACUGGAACUGAGACACGGUCCAGAAUCCUACGGGAGGCAGCAGUGGGGAAUAUUGGACAAUGGGAGAAAGCAUGAACAAGACAUGCAGCGUGUGUGAAGAAGGUCUUCGGAUUGUAAAGCACUUUAAGUUGGGAGGAAGGGCAGUAAGUUAAUACCUUGCUGUUUUGACGUGACCAACAGAAUAAGAACCGGCUAACUUCGUG
RNAcentral lists this ribosomal RNA (484 nucleotides) under uncultured bacterium. RNAcentral describes it as "partial 16S ribosomal RNA". It matches the Rfam family "Bacterial small subunit ribosomal RNA", at positions 30 to 507 of the family's 1533-position model. The record is from RNAcentral.